RNAcentral lists this non-coding RNA (112 nucleotides) under Paraburkholderia sp. RNAcentral's name for it is "Glycine sequence". It matches the Rfam family "Glycine riboswitch aptamer". Rfam says of the family: This family represents the bacterial glycine riboswitch. Glycine riboswitches usually consist of two metabolite-binding aptamers domains with similar structures in tandem. The aptamers cooperatively bind glycine to regulate the expression of downstream genes. The record is from RNAcentral. Lineage: Bacteria; Pseudomonadati; Pseudomonadota; Betaproteobacteria; Burkholderiales; Burkholderiaceae.
CCGCACGCGUCGGGAGAGCGCGCUGGCCGCAUCGCAACAUACGCCAUGCAAAGCCGCGCCGCCGAAGGGGCACACCCGCAAACUCUCAGGCAAAAGGACCGACCGCGUCGAA